CAGCAGCCGCGGUAAUACGUAGGGUGCAAGCGUUAAUCGGAAUUACUGGGCGUAAAGCGUGCGCAGGCGGUUAUAUAAGACAGAUUUGAAAUCCCCGGGCUCAACCUGGGAACUGCAUUUGUGACUGUAUAGCUAGAGUACGGCAGAGGGGGAUGGAAUUCCGCGUGUAGCAGUGAAAUUCGUAGAUAUGCGGAGGAACACCGAUGGCGAAGGCAAUCCCCUGGGCCUGUACUGACGCUCAUGCACGAAAGCGUGUGGAGCAAACAGGAUUAGAUACCCCCGUAGUCCCUGUCUCUUAUAC
RNAcentral lists this ribosomal RNA (301 nucleotides) under uncultured bacterium. RNAcentral describes it as "partial 16S ribosomal RNA". It matches the Rfam family "Bacterial small subunit ribosomal RNA", at positions 509 to 807 of the family's 1533-position model. The record is from RNAcentral.